Molecule: ribosomal RNA, 402 nt
Filed under: uncultured bacterium
Lineage: Bacteria
Description: bacterial SSU rRNA
Rfam family: Bacterial small subunit ribosomal RNA
Source: RNAcentral
CUGGUCUUGACAUCCCGAUGAGUUCAUUAAAGAUAGUGCCCCUCUUCGGAGCAUCGGAGACAGGUGGUGCAUGGUUGUCGUCAGCUCGUGUCGUGAGAUGUUGGGUUAAGUCCCGCAACGAGCGCAACCCUUGACUUUAGUUGCCAGCAGGUGAAGCUGGGCACUCUAGAGUGACUGCCGGUGACAAACCGGAGGAAGGUGGGGAUGACGUCAAAUCAUCAUGCCCCUUAUGACCUGGGCUACACACGUACUACAAUGGCCGGUACAACGGGAAGCGAAACCGCGAGGUGGAGCCAAUCCCAGCAAAGCCGGUCUCAGUUCGGAUUGCACGCUGCAACUCGCCUGCAUGAAGUCGGAAUUGCUAGUAAUCGCGGAUCAGCAUGCCGCGGUGAAUACGUUCCC